This 505-nucleotide ribosomal RNA is filed under the name uncultured bacterium. Its description in RNAcentral is "partial 16S ribosomal RNA". It matches the Rfam family "Bacterial small subunit ribosomal RNA", at positions 28 to 507 of the family's 1533-position model. The record is from RNAcentral.
GACGAACGCUGGCGGCGUGCCUAAUACAUGCAAGUAGAACGCACAGUUUAUACCGUAGCUUGCUACACCAUACACUGUGAGUUGCGAACGGGUGAGUAACGCGUAGGUAACCUGCCUGGUAGCGGGGGAUAACUAUUGGAAACGAUAGCUAAUACCGCAUAAUAUUGAUUAUUGCAUGAUAAUUGAUUGAAAGAUGCUAUUGCAUCACUACCAGAUGGACCUGCGUUGUAUUAGCUAGUAGGUGAGGUAACGGCUCACCUAGGCGACGAUACAUAGCCGACCUGAGAGGGGGAUCGGCCACACUGGGACUGAGACACGGCCCAGACUCCUACGGGAGGCAGCAGGAGGGAAUCUUCGGCAAUGGACGAAAGUCUGACCGAGCAACGCCGCGUGAGUGAAGAAGGUUGUCGGAUCGUAAAGCUCUGUUGUAAGAGAAGAACGGGUGUGAGAGUGGAAGGUUCACACUGUGACGGUAUCUUACCAGAAAGGGACGGCUAACUACGUG